This is a non-coding RNA of Odocoileus virginianus texanus, 950 nucleotides long. NCBI's taxonomy places the organism in Eukaryota, Metazoa, Chordata, Mammalia, Artiodactyla, Cervidae. The record is from RefSeq and is a predicted model, not a curated record.
AGAGAGCCGGCGCCGCGGCGGAAAGGCGGCGCUGACGCACGCAAGCAGAGCCAGUGGGAGUGCACGCAGAGACGCGGAAACACACAUGUGCAGACAUGCAGAGCAACACGGAUGCUGACGUGGCGAGUCCCCUGGAGACGCCUGUGGGGCCGGAGCCGGGAACCGCAGAUGUGUGGAGAUGCAUGAGGGGACCUGGUCCCUGCAGCCCAGCUGCUACCCCCAUGGCUUGCCGCCAGCGUGCUCACCAAGGUCAACCAUGACUCCAUGGAGCUAAGUCCAGAGGCCACGUCUCAGCGGUCAUCUUGCUCGACCUCUCCACAGCACCCCUCCCUGAUCCUUCAGGUUCUUUUUCUCUUGACUUCCAGGGACUCAUCCCUAUAGAAGACCUAGCGUCUGGGGCUCCAUCCGGGCCCGCUUCCUGUCUUCUGGCUCCCUAAGACUUGCCAUUUCUCUCCCCUGUCUCUCCAGCUGUUCCUUGGAGUGCCAGGCAAAAUCUGAACAAGGCCUCCUUGGCACCCCUCCCCAGGAUGCCUACACAUACCUGCUACAACAGAUUUCUAAGUGGACUCAUCAACUUGCCCAUCAAACGGGUCCUCCUCUCAGACCUGAACCUUAGCAAACGGCACUGCCAUCUACCUGGCCCGGAGCCAGCAACCCUGAGUCACCCGCCUCCCCAGUCCCACAGGUGGCCAGGCAAGCUUUCUAAACUGCAUGAACCCAGUCUCCCUUCCUCCUCUACCCAACUGCCUGGGUUUGGGCCACUGCCACCUCUUGCCUGGGCCGCUGCCCUGACCUCUCACUGGUCUUCCGGUACCCGCCUCUGCACCCUCAGGGACCUUCCUGAAGCACGCCUUUUAUCAGGCAUUCCCCUGAUUAAAAUCCUCUCUCCCCUGGCAACCAGAGGCAGGGGACACCUCAUCAGGGGUGGAGGAUGUGCACACACAGGGGCA